This 253-nucleotide ribosomal RNA is filed under the name uncultured bacterium. RNAcentral's name for it is "partial 16S ribosomal RNA". It matches the Rfam family "Bacterial small subunit ribosomal RNA", at positions 524 to 776 of the family's 1533-position model. The record is from RNAcentral.
UACGAAGGGGGCUAGCGUUGCUCGGAUUGACUGGGCGUAAAGGGCGCGUAGGCGGCCCGCUAAGUCAGACGUGAAAUCCCUCGGCUCAACCGGGGAACUGCGUCUGAUACUGGCAGGCUUGAAUCCGGGAGAGGGAUGUGGAAUUCCUGGUGUAGCGGUGAAAUGCGCAGAUAUCAGGAGGAACACCGGUGGCGAAGGCGGGUCUCUGGGCCGAUACUGACGCUGAGGAGCGAAAGCGUGGGGAGCGAACAGG